AAUGAACGCUGGCGGCAUGGAUUAGGCAUGCAAGUCGAACGGGCCGUUUUUCGCAAGAGAGACGGUUAGUGGCGAAAGGGUGAGUAACACGUGAGCAACCUGCCCUCGAGUUCGGGAUAGCCCGCGGAAACGUGGAUUAAUACCGAAUGUGGUACCCUGUCUCAUGGCGGGGCUACUGAAGAUUUAUCGCUCGGGGAUGGACUCGCGGCCCAUAAGCUUGUUGGCGGGGUAACGGCCCACCAAGGCUAUGACGGGUAGGUGGUCUGAGAGGAUGAUCAGCCACACUGGGACUGAGACACGGCCCAGACUCCUACGGGAGGCAGCAGUAGGGAAUAUUGCGCAAUGGGGGAAACCCUGACGCAGCGACGCCGCGUGAGUGAUGAAGGCCUUUCUGGUUGUAAAGCUCUGUAAGGAGGGAAGAAUGUCAGGCAGUAACGUGUCUGAGUGACGGUACCUCCGGAGUAAGGACCGGCUAAAUACGUGCCAGCAGCCGGGUAAACUGU
RNAcentral lists this ribosomal RNA (503 nucleotides) under uncultured bacterium. RNAcentral's name for it is "bacterial SSU rRNA". It matches the Rfam family "Bacterial small subunit ribosomal RNA", at positions 29 to 528 of the family's 1533-position model. The record is from RNAcentral.